UACGUAGGCGGCGAGCGUUGUCCGGAGUUACUGGGCGUAAAGGGUGCGCAGGCGGCCCGGCAGGUUGGUGGUGAAAGCUCCUGGCUCAACUGGGAGAGGGCCAUGCAGACGGUCGGGCUUGAGGGUCGCAGAGGGGCGUGGAAUUCCGGGUGGAGCGGUGAAAUGCGUAGAGAUCCGGAGGAACACCGACGGCGAAGGCAGCGCCCUGGACGAUCCCUGACGCUCAGGCACGAAAGCGUGGGGAGCAAACAGG
This 253-nucleotide ribosomal RNA is filed under the name uncultured bacterium. RNAcentral's name for it is "partial 16S ribosomal RNA". It matches the Rfam family "Bacterial small subunit ribosomal RNA", at positions 524 to 776 of the family's 1533-position model. The record is from RNAcentral.